AUGGCGGAGGAACCGUCCGCCAAGCGUCAUCAUGCCGAGACGUCGGACAAGAGGAGCAACCUCGUCGACAUUAACGUCCCCGGCGAGAAGCGCGAGUACACAACAACCCUCAAAGGGGUUGAGCUCCACGGCAACGAGACGCUGGAGAUCGUCUGCACCAGCGUACCAGAAAAGGCCGAAGAGGUGAUCUCCAGGCUUUGGAGGAUGCUUGGCGGCAGGUUUCGUAGGAUCGUCGGCGUUGGUGUGCACUACACCAACAAAGAUGAACCUCCCCAGAAGGCAGCAGUCCUGCAGUUGUGCAUCGACGAACUCUGCUUGGUGUAUCACAUCGCAGCGGCCACAAAAUGGUGA
This 351-nucleotide ribosomal RNA is filed under the name Triticum aestivum (bread wheat). RNAcentral describes it as "partial small subunit ribosomal RNA". Lineage: Eukaryota; Viridiplantae; Streptophyta; Magnoliopsida; Poales; Poaceae. The record is from RNAcentral.